RNAcentral lists this ribosomal RNA (424 nucleotides) under uncultured bacterium. RNAcentral's name for it is "bacterial SSU rRNA". It matches the Rfam family "Bacterial small subunit ribosomal RNA", at positions 356 to 773 of the family's 1533-position model. The record is from RNAcentral.
AGGGAAUCUUCCGCAAUGGACGAAAGUCUGACGGAGCAACGCCGCGUGAGUGAUGAAGGUUUUCGGAUCGUAAAGCUCUGUUGCCAGGGAAGAACGUCCGUUAGAGUAACUGCUAACGGAGUGACGGUACCUGAGAAGAAAGCCCCGGCUAACUACGUGCCAGCAGCCGCGGUAAUACGUAGGUGGCAAGCGUUGUCCGGAAUUACUGGGCGUAAAGCGCGCGCAGGCGGCUGUUUAAGUCUGGUGUUUAAUCCUGGGGCUCAACCCCGGGUCGCACUGGAAACUGGACGGCUUGAGUGCAGAAGAGGAGAGUGGAAUUCCACGUGUAGCGGUGAAAUGCGUAGAGAUGUGGAGGAACACCAGUGGCGAAGGCGACUCUCUGGGCUGUAACUGACGCUGAGGCGCGAAAGCGUGGGGAGCAAAC